Long non-coding RNA from Capsicum annuum, 555 nucleotides. RefSeq lists it as uncharacterized. Lineage: Eukaryota; Viridiplantae; Streptophyta; Magnoliopsida; Solanales; Solanaceae. The record is from RefSeq and is a predicted model, not a curated record. The transcript has 2 exons.
UCAAAGAUCGAACGGUUUAGAUUUCAGUCAAAUCCCAAAGUACAAGGACACGCUUUCUCUCUUCCCCAAGCCAACUCACACGUUUUCUCUGUCCAAAUCACGAUGAUCUCUCUCUUUCAACCUUUCUCAAACAAAUAAUAAUGAACGCCCUUUCUUCUUUUCUUUUCUUUAUCUCUCUCAUCUACUACCCCAAAUGAGAAACUCCAUAGCCGUAUCACCCCUGUCGUACCUCUGUAGAGAUUCGUCUUUCCUAACCCAUGAUUCUUUAUUUGAUGGCAAAAAGGAUCCAAAUCAGUGCAACAAGAUUUUUUAUUACAAAUCCACACUAAAGUUUCAAUGAAAACUUAUCUUCAACCAAUUAUUGGGUUGACGACUAUAAGAUCACACAGCUCGGGGUUUAAAUCGCUAGAAGUCGGUUCCUUCGAUCGGAAAUCUAUAGUAUCGAGUUCCUUACUUUUCGCAUUGUUUUUUCAUAUUUAUUUCAUUAAUGUUGUAUUACACUAAAUAUGUAUUUUAUGUGGCUUUGAUUGGAAUUGAUUGACAUUGUUUUUUUUU